This 399-nucleotide ribosomal RNA is filed under the name uncultured bacterium. RNAcentral describes it as "bacterial SSU rRNA". It matches the Rfam family "Bacterial small subunit ribosomal RNA", at positions 975 to 1376 of the family's 1533-position model. The record is from RNAcentral.
CAGGGCUUAAAUGCAGGCUGCAUGGGGUAGAGAUACCCCUUUCUUCGGACUGCCUGCAAGGUGCUGCAUGGUUGUCGUCAGCUCGUGCCGUGAGGUGUCAGGUUAAGUCCUAUAACGAGCGCAACCCCUACCGUUAGUUGCCAGCAUGUCAAGAUGGGGACUCUAACGGGACUGCCGGUGCAAACCGUGAGGAAGGUGGGGACGACGUCAAAUCAUCACGGCCCUUACGUCCUGGGCCACACACGUGCUACAAUGGCCGGUACAGAGGGAAGCCACCCCGCAAGGGGGCGCGGAUCUAUAAAACCGGUCACAGUUCGGAUCGGGGUCUGCAACUCGACCCCGUGAAGCUGGAAUCGCUAGUAAUCGGAUAUCAGCCAUGAUCCGGUGAAUACGUUCCCG